RNAcentral lists this ribosomal RNA (253 nucleotides) under uncultured bacterium. RNAcentral's name for it is "partial 16S ribosomal RNA". It matches the Rfam family "Bacterial small subunit ribosomal RNA", at positions 524 to 776 of the family's 1533-position model. The record is from RNAcentral.
UACGAAGGGGGCUAGCGUUGUUCGGAUUUACUGGGCGUAAAGCGCACGUAGGCGGAUCGUUAAGUCGGGGGUGAAAUCCUGGAGCUCAACUCCAGAACUGCCUUCGAUACUGGCGAUCUAGAGUCCGGAAGAGGUGAGUGGAACUCCUAGUGUAGAGGUGGAAUUCGUAGAUAUUCGCAAGAACACCAGUGGCGAAGGCGGCUUACUGGUCCGGUUCUGACGCUGAGGCGCGAAAGCGUGGGGAGCAAACAGG